Molecule: ribosomal RNA, 409 nt
Filed under: Digitipes barnabasi
Lineage: Eukaryota; Metazoa; Arthropoda; Chilopoda; Scolopendromorpha; Scolopendridae
Description: partial 16S ribosomal RNA
Rfam family: Bacterial large subunit ribosomal RNA
Source: RNAcentral
UAAUUGUAGUCUGGAAUGAAUGGUUUAACGGGGAGUAACUUUCUUAAUUUUAAGGUUGAAUUUUAAUUAUUAGUGAAAAUGCUAAUAUGACAAAGGGGGACGAGAAGACCCUGUGGAGUUUUAUAUUUAAGUGAUAAUGUUAGUAGAGUAUUCAUUUAUUAUAUUUUGCUGGGGCGGCAAUAAGUAUGACACUUAUCAUUUUAGCUUAUUAAAAGGUAAUUGAUCCAUUAAUAAUGAUUUUUAGAUCAAACUACCCCAGGGAUAACAGCGUAAUUCUAUUUUAGAGUUCUUAUCGAUAAUAGAGUUUGCGACCUCGAUGUUGGAUUAAGAUUCCUUAAUAGUGCAGUAGCUUAAUAAGGUGGUCUGUUCGACCAUUAAAUUCUUACAUGAUCUGAGUUCAAACCGGAGA